Molecule: transfer RNA, 68 nt
Filed under: Marmota monax (woodchuck)
Lineage: Eukaryota; Metazoa; Chordata; Mammalia; Rodentia; Sciuridae
Description: tRNA.Thr
Rfam family: tRNA
About the family: Transfer RNA (tRNA) molecules are approximately 80 nucleotides in length. Their secondary structure includes four short double-helical elements and three loops (D, anti-codon, and T loops).
Source: RNAcentral
GGGUGUAUCUCAGUGGUAAAGUGCUUGCCUGGUGUGCAAAAGCCCUGAGUUCAAAUCCCAGCACCACA